GAUGAACGCUGGCGGCGUGCCUAAUACAUGCAAGUCGAGCGAACAGACGAGGAGCUUGCUCCUCCGACGUUAGCGGCGGACGGGUGAGUAACACGUGGAUAACCUACCUAUAAGACUGGGAUAACUUCGGGAAACCGGAGCUAAUACCGGAUAAUAUAUUGAACCGCAUGGUUCAAUAGUGAAAGACGGUUUUGCUGUCACUCAUAGAUGGAUCCGCGCCGCAUUAGCUAGUUGGUAAGGUAACGGCUUACCAAGGCAACGAUGCGUAGCCGACCUGAGAGGGGGAUCGGCCACACUGGAACUGAGACACGGUCCAGACUCCUACGGGAGGCAGCAGUAGGGAAUCUUCCGCAAUGGGCGAAAGCCUGACGGAGCAACGCCGCGUGAGUGAUGAAGGUCUUCGGAUCGUAAAACUCUGUUAUUAGGGAAGAACAAAUGUGUAAGUAACUAUGCACGUCUUGACGGUACCUAAUCAGAAAGCCACGGCUAACUACGUG
This 497-nucleotide ribosomal RNA is filed under the name uncultured bacterium. RNAcentral's name for it is "partial 16S ribosomal RNA". It matches the Rfam family "Bacterial small subunit ribosomal RNA", at positions 28 to 507 of the family's 1533-position model. The record is from RNAcentral.